GAUGAACGCUGGCGGCGUGCCUAAUACAUGCAAGUCGAGCGAACAGACGAGGAGCUUGCUCCUCUGACGUUAGCGGCGGACGGGUGAGUAACACGUGGAUAACCUACCUAUAAGACUGGGAUAACUUCGGGAAACCGGAGCUAAUACCGGAUAACAUGUUGAACCGCAUGGUUCAACAGUGAAAGACGGUCUUGCUGUCACUUAUAGAUGGAUCCGCGCCGCAUUAGCUAGUUGGUAAGGUAACGGCUUACCAAGGCAACGAUGCGUAGCCGACCUGAGAGGGUGAUCGGCCACACUGGAACUGAGACACGGUCCAGACUCCUACGGGAGGCAGCAGUAGGGAAUCUUCCGAAAUGGGCGAAAGCCUGAUGGAGCAACGCCGCGUGAGUGAAGAAGGUCUUCGGAUCGUAAAACUCUGUUAUUAGGGAAGAACAAAUGUGUAAGUAACUAUGCACGUCUUGACGGUACCUAAUCAGAAAGCCACGGCUAACUACGUG
Molecule: ribosomal RNA, 497 nt
Filed under: uncultured bacterium
Lineage: Bacteria
Description: partial 16S ribosomal RNA
Rfam family: Bacterial small subunit ribosomal RNA
Source: RNAcentral